RNAcentral lists this ribosomal RNA (309 nucleotides) under Triticum aestivum (bread wheat). Its description in RNAcentral is "partial small subunit ribosomal RNA". The record is from RNAcentral. Lineage: Eukaryota; Viridiplantae; Streptophyta; Magnoliopsida; Poales; Poaceae.
AUGCAAAAGGAUGAAGGGGAGCGGCUUCUCGAGUUCCCUAGAAGAACAUUAGACAAGAACAGAGAUUUGUCUCUUCUCUCUAGAAUACUAAUGAUUUGUCUUUACUUGGUAGAAUACAUAAUUCUUGCUAAUGAAAAACUGCCACAAAAUUAUGGCAUCUACUAUGAUGCUCUGAUACUGUCCUUUAGUAGCGAUCAAGGGUUGAGUUUCAGCAGCAAUCCUUCUUUUUCUUGGAGAUCUUCGGUGGCUCUAAAGUUCUUUUACCGCCUACUCCUAUCCACUAUCUAUUUCCAUGAUCACAUAGCGUAA